UGGUAUUGGUUCUGGACGUUGAUGGUAUUGGUUGUGGACGUUGAUGGUAUUGGUACUGGACGUUGAUGGUAUUGGUUCUGGAUGUUGAUGGUAUUGGUUCUGGACGUUGAUGGUACUGGUUCUGGACGUUGAUGGUACUGGUACUAGACGUUGAUGGUAUUGGUUCUGGACGUUGAUGGUAUUGGUUGUGGACGUUGAUGGUAUUGGUACUGGACGUUGAUGGUAUUGGUACUGGACGUUGAUGGUACUGGUACUAGACGUUGAUGGUAUUGGUUCUGAUCGUAACUCCCAUACUUUAACAUAGACAUACGACAUGCAUAGGGCUAAGGUGAUCGUAACUCCCAUACAUUAACAUAGACUUACGACAAUGAUGGGGCUAAGGUGAUCGUAACUCCCAUACUUUAACGUCGACAUACGACAUUC
Long non-coding RNA from Haliotis rubra (blacklip abalone), 423 nucleotides. RefSeq lists it as uncharacterized. Lineage: Eukaryota; Metazoa; Mollusca; Gastropoda; Lepetellida; Haliotidae. The record is from RefSeq and is a predicted model, not a curated record. The transcript is spliced from 3 exons.